CAGCUCCCUCCGGCGCCGGGCGCCCGCCCGCCCGGGACUCCUCGUACGCCUUCCGCCACUGAAUUCAUGGUGGCUUCGCAGGGCGGCGGGAGAAUUUCCUACAGGUUUCCCAGUCCGCAUCCGAAGGGAAUAGCCGGUCCCGGGAAGUCCCCCGCGGAGCGGAAAGAGCAACAUCCAAAUCAAGAGCGAUCCCCCCCGAUAGGCAGCACAGCUCUCAUCCGCA
Long non-coding RNA from Malurus melanocephalus (red-backed fairy wren), 223 nucleotides. RefSeq lists it as uncharacterized. NCBI's taxonomy places the organism in Eukaryota, Metazoa, Chordata, Aves, Passeriformes, Maluridae. The record is from RefSeq and is a predicted model, not a curated record. The transcript has 3 exons.